CCCCAUGCUGAUCUCUUGAUAGUGAAGGAGUUCUCAUGGGAUCUGAUGGUUUAAAAGUGUAUUCCCCCCUCACUCUCUCUCUCUCUCUCCUGCUCUGCCGUGGUAAGAAGUGCUUGUUUCCCCUUCACCUUCUGCCAUGAUUGUAAGUUUCCCGAGGCCUCCAAGUCAUGCUUCCUGUUAAGCCUGCAGAACUUCAGUGGUUCCUCUGCCUUGUUCCUCCUUCCAGUGGAUUGCAUAUCCAGAUAAUGUUGAACUUGGGAGCCUUCAUGCUUUGAUCAGUAAAAUCUUGAAUGAAUGGAAGUUGACAUAAGCUAAAGGAAUCAUCUUACACCAUGACAAAAUGGAGUAAGGCUGGAUCCCCAAAUCUCCAAUGUAACAAGCCUGGAACACUUAUGUGUAGAAUGCUCAGACUAUUAGUUGAGAGAAAAAUAAAAUUCCAUUUUGUUCAAGCCAUUGAUAUGUGGACUCUGCCCAGUAGCCAACUGUGUAUCCUAAUGAAUCCAGGGUGUCUUUACUUUAGUCCUCUCACCAGAGAGAGGUACAAAGCUGAGCUAGCUCCUUGCUUUAGCAACUUAUUGGGCUAAGUGAGAGGAGUCAACCAGGUGCAGCUCAUGAGCCACCAUGAAAUGUACUUGCUUAGAGACUGCUGUCUUCUAAUCAUUUUCUGAACUGUGCUCUAGGUUUUUAGAAUGU
RNAcentral lists this long non-coding RNA (693 nucleotides) under Homo sapiens (human). RNAcentral describes it as "HSALNT0364693". The record is from RNAcentral. Lineage: Eukaryota; Metazoa; Chordata; Mammalia; Primates; Hominidae.